AAGUCUGAUGGAGAACGCCGCGUGAGUGAAGAAGGGUUUCGGCUCGUAAAGCUCUGUUGGUAGUGAAGAAAGAUAGAGGUAGUAACUGGCCUUUAUUUGACGGUAAUUACUUAGAAAGUCACGGCUAACUACGUGCCAGCAGCCGCGGUAAUACGUAGGUGGCAAGCGUUGUCCGGAUUUAUUGGGCGUAAAGCGAGUGCAGGCGGUUCAAUAAGUCUGAUGUGAAAGCCUUCGGCUCAACCGGAGAAUUGCAUCAGAAACUGUUGAACUUGAGUGCAGAAGAGGAGAGUGGAACUCCAUAUGUAGCGGUGGAAUGCGUAGAUAUAUGGAAGAACACCAGUGGCGAAGGCGGCUCUCUGGUCUGCAACUGACGCUGAGGCUCGAAAGCAUGGGUAGCGAACAGGAUUAGAUACCCUGGUAGUCCAUGCCGUAAACGAUGAGUGCUAAGUGUUGGGAGGUUUCCGCCUCUCAGUGCUGCAGCUAACGCAUUAAGCACUCCGCCUGGGGAGUACGACCGCAAGGUUGAAACUCAAAGGAAUUGACGGGGGCCCGCACAAGCGGUGGAGCAUGUGGUUUAAUUCGAAGCAACGCGAAGAACCUUACCAGGUCUUGACAUCCAGUGCAAACC
RNAcentral lists this ribosomal RNA (628 nucleotides) under Lactobacillus gasseri. RNAcentral describes it as "bacterial SSU rRNA". It matches the Rfam family "Bacterial small subunit ribosomal RNA", at positions 379 to 999 of the family's 1533-position model. The record is from RNAcentral. Lineage: Bacteria; Bacillati; Bacillota; Bacilli; Lactobacillales; Lactobacillaceae.